RNAcentral lists this long non-coding RNA (5747 nucleotides) under Sus scrofa (pig). Its description in RNAcentral is "lncRNA (ENSSSCG00030012317.1)". The record is from RNAcentral. Lineage: Eukaryota; Metazoa; Chordata; Mammalia; Artiodactyla; Suidae.
AGUUUAUUUUUGUGUAUGGUGUUAGGAAGUGUUCUAAUUUCAUUCUUUUACAUGUUGCUGUCCAGUUUUCCCAGCACCACUUAUUGAAGGGCCUCUCUUCACUGUAUAUUCUUGCCUCCUUUGUCAUAGAUUAGUUGACUGUAGGUGCGUGGGUUUAAUUCUGGGCUUUCUGUCCUGUUCCACUAAUGUAUAUUUCUAUCUUUGUGCCAGUACCACAUAGUUUUGAUGUCUGUAACUGUGUAGUAUAGAGGUCAGAGUAGAAAUAAAUGAAAUAGAAAUGAAGAAAACCAUGGAAAAGAUCAGUGAAACAAAAAGCUGGUUCUUUGCAAAGAUCAACAAAAUUGAUAAACCCUUAGCCAGACUUACCAAGAAAAAAAGAGAGGAUUCAAAUCAAUAAAAUUAGAAAUGAAAAAGGAGAAGUUACAACAGACAUCACAGAAAUGUAAAGGAUCAUAAGAGACUAGUACAUGCAACUAUAUGCCAAUAAAGUGGAAAACCUAGAAGAAAUGGAUAGAUUCUUAGAAAAGUGCAAUCUUCCAAGACUAAACCAAGUUGAAAUAGAAAAGACGAAUGGACCAAUCACAAGUACUGAAAUUGAAAAUGUGAUUUAAAAACUUCCAACAAACAAAAGUCCAGGACCAGAUGGCUUCACAGGAGAAUUCUAUCAAACAUUUAGAGAAGAGCUAACACCUAUCCUUCUGGAACUAUUCCAAAAAAUUGCUCAGGAAAGAAUACUCCCAAACGCAUUCUAUGAGGCACCGUCACCCUAAUACAAAAUGCAGACAAAGAUACCACACACAAAAAAAGAAAAUUACAUGCCAAUUUCACUGAUAAACAUAGAUGCAAAAAUCCUUAACAAAACACUAGCAAACUGAAUCCAACAAUACAUAAAAGGAUUGUACAUUAUGAUCAGGUGGGAUUUAUCCCAGAGAUGCAAGGAUUCUUCAAUAUCUGCAAAUCAAUCGGUGUGAUACACCACAUUAACAAACUGAGGGAUGAAAACCAUAUGAUCCCCUCAAUAGAUGCAGAAAACGCCUUUGACAAAAUCCAACACCCAUUUCUGAUAAACACCCUUCAGAAAGUGGGCAUAGAGGGAACCUACCUCAACAUAGUAAAGGCCAUGUAUGACAAACCCAGAGCUAACAUCAUUCUCAAUGGUGAAAAGCUGAAAGAAUUCCCGCUGAGAUCAGGAACAAGACAAGGAUAUCCACUCUUACCACUACUAUUCAACAUAGUUUUAGAAGUCCUAGCCAUGGCAAUCAGAGAAGAAAAGGAAUAAAAGGAAUCCAAAUUGGAAAGAAAUAAGUAAAAUUAUCACUAUUUGCGGAUGACAUGGUACUAUACGUAGAAAAUUCUAAAGACGCUACCAGAAAACUGUUAGAGCUCAUCAAUGAAUUUGGCAAAGUCGCAGGAUACAAAAUCAAUACACAGAAAUCAACUGCAUUUCUAUAUACUAACAACGAAAGAUCAGAAAGAGAAAUUAGGGAAACAACCCCACUUACCAUCACAUCAAAAAGGAAAAAAAAUACUUAGGAAUAAACCUACCUAGAGAGACAAAAGACCUGUACUGUGAAAACUAUAAGACGCUGAUGAAAGAAAUCAAAGAUGGCGCAAACAGAUGGAAAGACAUACCAUGCUCUUGGAUUGGAAGAAUCAAUAUUAUCAAAAUGACUAUACUACCCAAGUCGAUCUACAGAUUCAAUGCAAUCUCUAUCAGAUUACCAAGGACAUUUUUCAGAGAACGUGAACAAAAUAUUUUAAAGUUUGUUUGGAAGCACAAAAGACCCAGAAUAGCCAAAGACAUCCUGAGAAAGAAAAAUGGAGCUGGAGGAAUAAGGCUCCUUGACUUGAGAUGGUGAAAUUUCUGAUCUAGCAGGCUUGGCAGUGACCUUGGCUUUGCCAAGGGGUGUGUUGCCAUUGCAUGGGAGUAGCUCUAAAGAGCAGAACCUAGAAUACCCAGGACAUGUGGCAGCAUCCUUAGGGCAGGAUGAAGUGAAACACAAGGCAGGCAGACCAGCAGACCCACUUUCCCCGGUUGGCUAUAUAAACCUCUCUCAACUGGUGUUCUGUAUUCUUUUAUAAAAUGGUCAGUUAGGUGUGGCCACAGGAGACAGAGGAGAAGUUCAGGAAAAAAUGAAGUUUUUUAUACUCACAAUCCAUGAGGGCACAGCACACCACACAGGGCCACAUGGGAAAGUCACCAGGGUGGUCAGAAGACAGGUGGGAGGGCAAGUUUAGCCCAGUGCCUUUAUUGGAGUUUCCUUGGGAAAGGCAGGCUGAGCAGUAUCAAUGCUUCAGGAUUGAGUACUUUGAGGAAAAUCUGCAGGCUUUGGCUCUAGGGAUAGUCCCUAGUUGCCUGGCACCUGGCCCUGGGAUGACUGGGUUAGAGGAGUAUUGCCUCCUGGGGUGUAUGGGCCCAGGAGAGGAAGUAAGGCUCUGGACUGGUUCGUUUGCGUGUCUCAGGCAUGCUCCUGACUGGGUCCUUUUUUAUCUCUCUACAAAUCGGCUAGCCCAGGGAGGGCAGUCUCUCCCGGCCAGAAAGGUUUUCUAAAGAUGUCAAAACACCAUAAUAAACAGAAAAAUUUAAGUAUUUACCAUAUAAUGGAUUUUUUAUCUGAGAGGCAUUAUCAUCAUCAUCAUCAUUUUGCCACAUCCCAGGACUUGUCCCCGUAGUGUUGUACGUGCCAAAGUUGUGUAACAUCUAGAUGGUCUAGAAGAUCUGCCAGUUUUCCUCCCCUCUUUGAGCCAUUUUUUAAAAAUUAGCUAAGGAAACUAAAGGACAAUAAGAAAUGAGCCUGCAAGGAAAUUGGCUAUGAAUUGUUUACUGACCCUCAAAGCUCCCUCGGUCUUGCUGCACAGAUCCUCCAGCCCUGACAGAUAAUCAGCUCUUCUGAGAAAUUCCUUGCUUCAUAAAUUGGAGUACUUGAGUAUCACACUGACAGGAACUCAAUAUUUUUCUCGGAAGGAUUUGGUCAGUCUGAACUGGCUGUUCAUUAGUAAAUGGAGUCGUGCCCAGGUAGUGAGUACCAGCUAGUGUUCAUCUCAACUGUAGCGCGGCAGAGUCUUCGCUGUUCUUCUGAAAUUUCUUCUUUCCUUCUUAUUGGGCACAUAACUGCCUAGUUAGAGACUGGAUUUCCCAGCCAGCUUUGCAGCUAGGCAUGGCUGUGUGAUUCAUGGCUGUGUGAAUCUGAUGUAUGUCAUUUCAGCCUAAGCUGAUAGAAAGAAAACUGCUUGCCCAAGACUCUCUUUUAUUAAGUGGAAAGUGCACAAGCCAGGGAACCAGCUGCAGGUGCGUGGAAGAGGCUAACGCCCCAGAGGAGCAGAGCCGUGAGAUGGAAGGAACCUGGGACCCCUCAGGCAGCUUCCAGAGUUGAGAGAACCUGCCAACCUGAAGUACUCCCCUUGAGACUUUUACAUGAGAAAUAAGUUUCUGUUUCAUUUAAACCGUUAUAUCAUGGCUGCAGAGAUGUGACCUAAUUGUAAUCUCUUCGGGAGGUCACACAGGCUCUGUGCCAGCCUUUUGUGAUGGGAUCUAUGCCACUUGACUAUGAUGGCCAAAGCAAGGGGCCGCUUUGUUUAUACUGUGGACAAGAAUGUCGGUAAAUGAAGGAGGUUUGCAGCCAUCAAGCCAUCAGCCUCAGCAGCCACCCCCAAAGGUGCACCCUGAGGGAAAUCAGGAUAGAGAAAAACAGAAUACUGGCCCUAAAUAGUUAAGGUGUAUAUCAAAGGAAUAAUUUCAGGGAGCCCAGACUCCUGCAUUUUCCCAUGCAUAGGAAAGCACAAAUUCAUUCGCUUGAGAUGUCUGGUUUUCUUUAAUAUUUUGAUGUUCCCACUACCUGUUUUUGUUGUUGUUGUUAUUUUUUUUCCAAAAACUCCUGUAUAUCCUGGCUCCUCCCUUACGUCUUUAGAACAGUCCCUCAGAGCUAUCUCAUAGGCUGUCUCCUGGGCUUAAGUCCUCAAACAUAAUUCUCAACUUUUAGGUGGUUCAUUUUUUGUUGGUACAUAGGACUUUUAUAUCUCCCUUCAUGACCAAUGAUGUAGUUUGUUGCUACAAAACCCCUCCCUCCCCCAAAUACGGUCUGUGUAACAACUGUUCUGGAAGAUGUUCCUCAAAUCAUUUUGGAGCCAGACACAUUUUGCAAAUACUUACACUAUACCUCCCUCUGAAGAGUCGUGUGUAUAUUAACAUACAUGUAUAUAUUACAUGUGUAUAUAUUAAUAUACUUUUUAAGGUAUAGAAAAGUCUGAAAUAAAUUUAACUGGUUUAACCCAGAGUUUUUUAAACCAUAUUUGGCUGCAGACCACCCCUAGAUGCUUCCUUUUUUUCCUGAUAAUAGCUGUUAAUAUCAUGUAAAACUAGUACGUUCUGUGAAACACAUUUAGGAAAUGCAGAUCUAACCCCUGACCUGGCCUUAAUUGGCACUAUUUCCGAGACCACUGAGCAGGUCAGCCAUAGACACGGACCUAACUCUACAUUGGGUAGAAAAAUGUUGGAAUUUGUUUAUAGUGUGUGGUUAUUGGAUGUUAGCCCAGUCAGUAGUAAACAGGAAAUGUUUUAACUUGAGAAUAUAACAAGAACUCCAGAGACAAGGGAAAUACACACCCCACAUAAAAUCCUUACCCAACAAACCAUAAACAUAUAACUAAAGUCUUCCUUCCCAUAACCCCCUUUCGCAAUGCUUAAAAUAGAGACUCUAGCCUUUACUGAUAAGAAAACUUGGUUUCGCUUCUGUUUAAUCCCAGCCUGAUUUAGUAGCAAGAGUGUGGGUUCUAGAGUCAAACAGAGCUAGAUUUGAAUCCUACUUACUAUCUUUGCGAUUUUGGAAAAAGUUGUUUUUUCUAACCGAGCCUUAAUUUCCUAUUUUAUAAAACGGGAAUAAAGAUACCUCAUUAUGUUUGCAGGUAGUUAAGUGAGAUAAUGCCGGCAAAGCCCCAAGCAAAGCACCUUAGUGCAUACUAAGGGUUCAACAAUUGGUAGAGUUAUCUCAACUUCUCUAUUCUCAUCUUACCCUCCUCUUUUUAGAUGUUUAUAUGUAUUUCAGAUUGUCUUUACCAUAUGUCUACUAUAGAAUCCAUCUCAUAUUCCUUAUAAUCCAAGAUAUUUAUUAAACAUCCAUUUAAAACUAAUGAAUGUAAUUCGUUCAUCUUGCUGCCCAGAUGUCUUCUCUUCCUGAUAGUUGUUAUAGGAUAUAAAUAGUCCCUCCUCUUUUGCCCAAUGAAAUUUUUGAGUACCAAAAUUGAUGAUGCUAUGGUGCUCUUUCACUAUAACAAUUGAUUAAUAUUUUAAAAAUACCAAAGAUGGAACAUUAUCCAACUAAGUUAUUUUUUUUCCUUCUUUGUGGGGACAAAAUAUUAUGUCUAUAAUUAAAUUUUAUUUAUUUUCCUACAACUCUGUUUUAACAGAUAAGGGCACUAAGUGACACUGAAAGUCAAAACUACACUUUUAGUAACCCAAGAUUUUUUUAGGAACUGAAAUAAGUCAAAAGGUUGACUGAUAGUUAGAAAUUUGUUUGAAAUUUGGUUGGUUCAUCACAUUUGUAAAAUGCAGAAGUUUUGCUUAUGGCGAUAAUUGGGUAGCUUGUGUCAAACAAACCCUCUCUGAACACAAUUACAAGAGCUGAAUAGCAUUGAAAACAAACAAAUGCAGCUAGUUGAGGAUAUCAGAGAACAACCAAGGCAGCCAAGACUUUAAGAGCCAAAAUUCCAGAGCUAUCCCUUGACAUAAAAAUCUAAUAAGAAUGAAACAA